Non-coding RNA from Xyrichtys novacula (pearly razorfish), 24331 nucleotides. The record is from the annotation of a GenBank genome assembly. NCBI's taxonomy places the organism in Eukaryota, Metazoa, Chordata, Actinopteri, Labriformes, Labridae.
CCUCUGGCUUUAACAACAGCUCGGCAUAUACCAGGCAUUCGUUACCAAGUUUUCUAAGGUCUGUUCCAGGGAUUACAUUCAAGCUUUCUUAAGUUCAUUAAAAAGAGACGCUGAUUCGUGGGACGUGUUUUUCUGACCGAUCGAUCCAAUUCAUCCCGCGCAAGCUCAAUUGGAGAAAGGUCUGGAGACUGAGGGGUCCAAACCAUCUUCUGAAGAACACCUUCCUCUUCUCUUUUGUCUCGGUAACCCUGACAGAGCUCGGCAGAGUGCUUAGGGUCAUUGUCUUACUGCAAAACAAACUUAUGAGCCACAAGUCUGAGUCCAGAUGGAGCAGCAUGGUGCUGGAGGAUGGAGUGGUACUGUUCCUUCUUCAUGAUACCCUUUACUUCAAACAAAUCUCCUACUCCAUCACCUGAUAAACGUCCCCAUACCAUGGAGCUACCACCUCCAUGCUGAAUUGUGGGUGUAACACAUGGAGCUUUCAGACGUUCACCAGUUUGUCUGCGGACAUAGACUCUGCGUUUGGAACCAAACAGUUAAAACUUGUUUCUAUCAUCAUAAGUCCAGUUUUUGUGAGCUUUUGCCCACUCGUGUCUCUUUUUCUUGUUCUGUGAACAAAGUAGUGUUUAUUUGCAGAUACACAACCCUUCAGACCAGCCUUUCUAAAAACAUCUCCAUGAAAGCAACAUCUGAUCAUGGAGUAAAUACAUCCCAAAAUACCUCAAACUCAUGCUGGAUUUAACAAAAAGUUGAAGUUACUCCCAACUGUUCGGCCUGUAACGGCCUUGCUUCCAAACUUUUGGCCUGUAGUGUUUAAACACAGAAAAUCGGCUCCAAAAUUUGAAGAAAUGUAAAUGUUCCCAAAAGUAAAUAAAGUAGAAAAAGUUCAAUUUUCUAAACGUUACUGUAAAAAAGUCCUUUUGCUGCCAUUUCAAUAUAUCACCUGUAAAAAGGUGAACCUUUGACACCGUCCCUGUGUGUUUUCAGAGGAGACCAGAGGACAUUAUGAAGACAGUUCAGGAUUUAAUUCAUGUUGAAGCUAAAUUUCCUCGUCCUCUCCGAACUGAUUUAACCUGAUAUUUCCCAUAAUUCAACCUGAUUCCCUCAGAGUCAGACGGCUGUUAGAGCGAGGGGCUGUCUGAGGGCGACGGGCCGAUCCGACAGAAACACUCUGCUCCAGUCAGAUCAGGUUAUGAGAGUCUGAGAGGAGAAAUUUACAUAUUUCAGGAUGUUUCUGUAAUCUUUGGUGAAACGGACCGAGGAGGAGAAACAUCUCCGAGAACCUGGAGCAGGUCCAGCUGCCCUGAAACCAGGACCGGGAUCAACCAGGACCUCUGCUGUUCUCACUAAAACUCUGUUAGACUGAAAGAUCUGAUAUGGACAUGGCUAAUUCAGCUGUGUAACACACACACACACACACACACACACACACACACACACACACACACACAGAGUAACGUCUACACUAAAUAUGAUGGAGGUCAGGAGCUGCAGUUUUAUCUCUAUGGGGACAGAAGAAGAAGUCCUGUUUGUUUUCUGUGUAGGUGUUUGUGUGUGUGUGUGUGUGUGUGUGUGUGUGCAUGUGUGUGUGUGCGUGUAACGUCUCAGACAGGAUUAGUCAUGUUAUUGUUUUCUGCCUGUGGACUCUGUUUGUCCCUCAGGUCUGAGUCUCUGUUCGGCCGUUUUUUUAUUAACAAGCAGAGACACACAGCAACUACCCACACACACACACACACACACACACACACACACGUUUCAUACAGAGAUAAUGUCUUCUAUCUGCAGCCUGUUUGUGGUUUUAAACCUCGGCUCUGUGUGUGUCUGAGGAAACAAACGACCGUCUGAUUUAAAGUCAAAUAUCACAGAAAUGUUUCAACGUCGAGGAGAUUUUAGGGCCUAAAACACAAACUAACUCCUCCUAUUUAAAACCUCUUUGUCCUCACUGAGUCAUCAUCACAGACUGUAUUUAUAAUAUAGACGACUUGGUUCCGCCUUCCACCAGUAUACAGAUUUGAGGCUGAAAAGCUCUCGGUAAUUCCGCGUUUUUUGACAUCCUGACAUUUCACAGCCAAUCAGAGGCCUCUGUUCCUCUUCUCUGCUCCAGUGGGUGGUGCAGCUGUUGUAGUUCUUGCGGUUCUCCUGCAGGGGCAUCGUCUGAGCUUCCUCUCCUCUCUCUGAACUGAAGCUUUUUGUUGCUGUUUCUGAGCUGUAGCACCCAUAGAUAUAUAUAUAAACGCUAGAUGGCUUACACACGCUGUUAGCCAAUGGAGACCAACGUCCGCGCAUGGUGGCCAUCUUGCUUCAGGCUUGCUGUAACAAACCUCAGAGUUUUAGUUCACUCAGGAUCAUUUUGUCAAAAUUCAGCUUUUUUGUGCAAAGUUAAAUUUGGCGGCAUAGUUCUGCUCUGGGUCCCUGCCCUUCCAAGUGCUUGCGUGGAAGCCAGAGACAGGAAGAGCCCCUUCCUGCCCCUCAUGAGCCAUCAUGAAAAGGCGAUAUCAGGGAGCGUAUGCGAGGUUCUAUCAGGGGCCCCUGUUCUCCAUGUAAGCAUGCGUGAAAGGCCAGCGGCAGGAAGAGCACCUUCCCUUCAUCAGGCAUCAUGAAGGCAGAAACGAUGGGGGUAGAGCAGCGAUGAACAGAACCCCCCCAUAAAAUAAAGGGAUUAUCUGUCAUUUAGGAUACAUCAGAUGUGUUAAAGUCUAAAAUGUAAUUUUCUGAUGAACAAACACCUGAGUGGAAAAAAGUUUCUUUUCUACACAACACACUUAUACACAAACACACACACACACACACACACACACACACACACACAUGCGCGCACACACUCUCUAAGAAAUCCAAGGACAGAUCUGAUGGCGGUUAUUCAAUUAUCUCGGAACGACUCAUGCUGUGAAAGAAACUCGUCUCCAUGGCAACACAUCUCAGCUCCUCUGCCUCCUGCGGUGGUUCAUCACUUCAUCCGGACCAAGUGUUUCUGUCCACGCUGAGAUUCAUGCUCUCACUUUCAUCCCUUCACACAUACACACACACACACACACACACACACUCGUACACAGCAGCAUCUCUUCUAUUGAAAGCUGACACACUUUCUGCAGAUAAACAGAAACCCGAUGAAAUAAACAACUCCCUCCAUCAGAGAUGUGUCCUGAUUCUCUUCUUCUUCUCUCCGAUGACAUUUCUCUCUCUCUCUCUCUCGCUCUCUCUCUCUCUCUCUCUCUCUCUCUCUCUCAGAUUCGUGGACUCUAACUGAACAUCUGGUGGUGUGUAUUUCUGGCUCUCCCAGCAGCUCGGGGUGUCGGCGGGUGUCUCUGUCCAUCGUCAGACUUUCAGACCAGGUCUCGGUGGAUCUCUGGCAGCAGCUCGCAGGUCGUAUGUUGGCUUCACAUCAGUCUCUCUCUCUCUCUCUCUCUCUCUCUCUCUCUCUCUCCAGGGUCACUACGCCGACCUCCUGCAGAGCAAACACAAACAGACUGACCUCCUUAUUCAGACCAACAACCGAGCCUGCUGGAAGAGGAAACGCCAGAGGAACAUCUGGCAGAAAAAGACACACUUGGACGGGAACCACAGAGCCCCCCCCCUCCCCCAAUACUCUGGGCUCCACUGCUGUCUGAUUCCGUUAGUAAGAAGUCUCAGUUUUCCUGUUAAAAGGAUCCAUAAAGCUGGCCCCCUGCUUCUCUGUUUAUGAGUCCCAGUUUAGUACACAGCAGCUUCACUUUAACUGACCAUCCAUCUGUUUUUCCUGGAGUCUCAGUUUCACAGUGAACAGUCAUACUGCGGCGCUGAAAAGACGUCAGAAGUGUCUACAACUGCUGCUGGUCAUUUUGAGGAAACAAGAAGAUGGAGCAUCGUACAGCGUUGUUUUUGUCCGUCAUGAUGGAUGCGCUACUUUUUCUAAAGAUGAGACCAACGCUACUCCUCUACUCUGGGGGUUUUGUUCCAGGGUUACGGGGGCGUGGCACACGCACACAUGCAUUGUCCAGACAUACUCCGACUACACUGGUUACAUGAUAGAGAAAAUCAAAUUCCAAUCACAUUAUCUGGGUGUCUUUAUCGUAGUUCUCAAACUCUGAUUAUAGUCGGACUAAGGUGUUAUCAUGACCUUCAGUUGUCCGGUCUUAAUUGGAAAAAGACAAUAGUUCGGUUUUCGCGGGUGUUGACACAUCUUACAGAAUGUGCUAGUUUAGAGUUCAUGCUGGACUCUGCAGACUUUAGUCUGGUCCAGAAUCGGUUUGAUGAGACUAUCUGACGGUUCGACUCGUGCGUCACUCUGAGACGUUAAAAGAUAAGUUCAGUCUUCUUAAAUAUGCAUGAUUGAUAACCACCUUAACCUUUCCUCAUUAUUACUGUCAGUUCAACCUGCAAUUAUGAGAUCUGGAGCUGGUAAUUAUGUCUCCCCAAAUCUCAUAAUAACAUGAUAAGGUCUGUGUUUCCCUCUUUAGGUUAAUGUAAUGUGCUUCAGUGAGAGUCUGUCGGGGGAAUCGUUGAUGAAGUAAUAAACCUUUCAGCGUUUAUGUCUCUGACCUUUUCAGGAAAAUCAAAAUCUACUAAAAUAUUCAAAUCCCACUUCAACCUCCGUUCGCCACAGACUAAACGCUGGAUCUGAAGGAGCGCUGCAAACCAACAAAACAUUUAUCAAACUGUUCGGUCUCCUCUGAGGAUGAACCUUUUUACACGCUGAAUCUUCCUGAUCUGUUUGAGGAUCAAAUCAAGAAAGGUGAAUGAAUGUAGAAGCAGCAGCAUCUUCAGCAGCAGCCGCAGCAGAUGGUUCAUUAAAUGAAGAAGUUAGCAUUCAUUAGACAGGAGGUCGUUACCUGCAAACAAAUUAAGAGGGAGCAUUAAAGAGCGGCUGCCUCUGAAGUCCACGGCCUGUUUCUGCUGUAAAACGAGGAGGUCCUAUUAACGAGAGCGCCGCUUCAAAAACCAUGAAGAAGAAAGCUGCAGACGCCGUCCCAUCCUCUGAUCGAUCAAUGCUGCUCACACUCCUCCUUUAUCGGCCACUGUCCUCUUGUUUCUCUGAAGAGAGCUGUUAGAUUUCCAAUAAGUGCGGACCUCAGAUGUCUUUGUAGCUCCAUUAUGCUCCGUGUUUUAACAGAGUCGAUCACAGAGGAGCUUUAAUAACGCCGCUCCUCCGGGACUCUUCACACGGCUCUGCUAAUAGAUGGGCCUCAGCCUGGACCGAAUAAUCUGCCCACAGGGAAACGCUGCCGAGUGUGCGGGCGGCCGCCUCACACCGCAGCCUCUGAAAGUGCCGAGUCAGGGUCACAUGACCGACAGAGACACCUCUGAACACUGAGUUUGUGUUCUUGUAAACGGGUAAUCGAUGGAGACGCUGAGAAGAAACUCUCAGAAUAAAUGGAAAACAUGUUCGACAUAAAUGAGCUCUGACUGCAGCCCUCAGCUUCCCGAGGUUUCAGACUCACAACAUGAGAACAGAAGAUAAUAAUGCAAACGUGGGAAAUGAUCAUCGCAGGAAUACGACCACGUCGGCUGUUUCUGAAAACCGUACGCUCAUUUAUAACCAGGCGGUGACCUUUAGAGGCUGCAGAGUCAGGUCUGUGUUUAAGGAGCAGAAGGUCUGUGUGAGGGGCGCUGAGUCAUCCAACAAACCCUGGACCUUCACUGAGAGGAGCAGAGGAGGAAAGGUCUGACAUACUCAGGUGAGGAACAUCACAGCUGCAGGUGUUGGACCAACGUCAGGAAGUAGUUUAGUUAGAAGAUUAACUUUAAAGGAACAAACACGUCUGUGGACAAAACUAAACCUGGGAUUAACUCCACUUCCUGUCAGUCUUUCCUCCGCUGACUCAGCAGUUUGAACACACGUAUGAAUCCAAUCAGAACACUUACCCCCAAUCUCCACCUUCAUCCUGAUCGUCUCCUAAAAGGUCGUAUCCUCCGAUCAAAGCUGAUCGUAACCAUCAAGUUAACGUUUUUUCUGGACGCCGGAGCAUGGCGGAUAAAUUCAGCACAGAUUAACCCGUGCUGGAAAGGAAGUCGGGCACAGACACAAAAUAAAACAUCCGGCUUCCUUUCAAAAUAAAGUAGGAAUUGUCGGACAGUGAAAAUUGCUGCACUGACUUCCUGUUCAGGAUGACAGCGAAUCUGUUCUACAGAACAUCCUGUCAGUACGUGUCAGUAUCAGGAAGGGCAUGUUUGAUUAGGAAACCUCCUCUCUGUUUGUGAACGCAGCCCAGCUCAGCUCUGCGGGGCGUUCGCAGUAAACAGACGCACUUCCAGCUCGGCCUGGUUUUAUUUCACGAUGAAGAGAGCGAGCGAUUAUGAGAGUCAUUACACUCGAUGACGGGCGAGUAAAACGGAGGUGCUGCUGCUGCCUGAAGGCGAAACAUCUGCCUCAAAGUCAGAGAGAGGCGACGGGAUCGAGAGUGGGCGGAGUCAGAGAGGAGAGAGGAGGAGUCUAUAUCCAGGAUCAGGACUAAGUUCUCAGAGUGAAUGUGGUUCAGUUUUUAAUUCAGCCUGAUCGACUCUUUGAUAUUUUUAAAACUGUAGAAACGUUUCUCCACCGUGUUUCUGAGUAAAACGACUCGAGAGGGAGGACGACUCUCUCCACAUGGAUUCAGUAACCGACACUGAGACGCUCUCUGCUCUGCAGUGCAGCUCAUGGAGGGUUGGACUCUGAAGUAAAGUGUGUCUGUUUUUUUUCUCAUUUUCUCAGAUUUCAUGGUCAUGCAGUCCUGAAGUGAAUCAGCCCUCAUUUCGAUUUUAACAUGGUUAGAGCAGGUGGAACAGUCCUCUCUGAACCUCCUUCCAUCUCAAAGUGAAUCAGGGUUUCUGUGGGCGGCAGUCGCUCAGGAGGUAGAGUGGUCGUCCAAAAACCGGAAGGUUGGCGGUUUUGAUUCCCCUCCAUCCCAAGUCUGUCGGUUGUGUCCAUUGGCAGGACACUUAACCCACCUUGCUCCCAGUGUGUGUGUCCUCCACUGGUGUGUGAUUGUGAAUGUUGUGUGGUGGUGGUCGGAGAGGUUGUGGGCGCAAACUGGCAGCCAUGUUUCUGUCAGUCUGUCCCAGGGCCGCUGUGACUACUAACCCGGGAUUUCUGUUCCAAUCCAAAACGGCAGCAAUUUUCGCCGUCUGCCAAUUUCUACUGGAUCCAUUUGUGAGGUGAAUUUCAUGUUGGAUUAUGGACAACAGGAACCGCGAGAACUCACAAGAACCCCUAGAUUCAUGUGCAAUAACAAGUUGUCUCUAUAAAGACAGACACAUAGACAUAUAAGCAGUAGAUUGUGUCCUUCCAGAGGAGGAAAUCUACUUCUAGACUUCUAGAAUCAGCAUCUCCUCAUCCAUGGUGUCAUCGGGGUGAAAUGACGUCUAAAAACCUUUCACUUGUUCGUCUCCGCCCGUUUGCAUGGUGUGAAAUACGAUCCUCCUGAAACACGGAGUGUUUUAUUUUGAAAAGAAGCCGGAUGUUUUAUUUUGUGUCUGUGCCCGACUUCCUUUCCAGCACGGGUUAAUCUGUGCUGAAUUUAUCCGCCAUGCUCCGGCGUCCAGAAAAAAUAGAACUCUUGUGAUCAGCUGAGGAGUCCGGCGAUCCGCAGAGGAACGGAAAGAAGUCGGUGUAAAUUGACACGUUAACUUGAAUGGUUACGAUCAGCUACGAUCGGAGGAUACGACCUUUUAGGAGACGAUCAGGAUGAAGGUGGAGAUUGCCAGUAAGGUAGUUUAUCACCACCAGGGUGUGACUGCGUGAGCGAAUGAAUGAUGUAUCCAAUGUGAGAGAGAGCUUUGAGAUCACUGACAAAAAGCGCUUCAAAAUCUGAUGUAUUAUCAUCAUUAUUAUUAUUUCUGUCUACGUUCUGUGUGCUAGAGUCAAGGCAAACGGGGGCCAAAGGGCCGGAUUCAGACCUACAACAUAACAAUGAUACUUGAGCUGCACAAUGAGGUCUUGGCACCGUGAGUCCGGGUCAGUUUCCCUCCUGAGUGAGCUGUACAGACCGUGAAGCUGCUGUAUGACAAGAAGGAGGAUCACAAUCAGAGAAAAACACACAGUUUUCUGAAAAAAUGAUCCUGUCUAUCUCUGUAUCAGUCCUGGUUCUUUAAACCUAAAGUAAACCCGCAGAAGAUCUCAUCAUCAGCAAAUAAACGAGACCGGAGAGAGAGAGAGAGAGAGCGAGAGAGAGAGAGAGAGAGAGAGAGGAGGUGAUGAACAGAGAGCAGCUCGCCUUGGAGUGUGAAAUGUACUCUGCAGCUCCCACGGGAUUCGACAGCACACACACUCACACGCACACGCACGCACGCACGCGCGCGCACACACACACACACACAGAGGACAGAUAGCUGAAGUAAUGGAAGUGUGAGCGAGGAAGAACCACCAUUAGUGCUCAGAUCUCAGUGUUGAAUUUACCCUCAUCUGCUCUGAUAUCUGUGAGGUUCCCCGAGGAGCCGAUGAUGACCUCUGGAGAAGCUGCAGAGAUGAAUUUCAAAGAGGGUCUAGUGAAUAGAAAUAACACUUCAGAGAGGCGCGCAAAUGGGUGAUGCAACACCAUGUGGGUGUAGAGAGCAGCACCUCAGGGCUCUGAUGGAGGCCGGCGUACAGACCCUGCAGGACGCUUGAAAGGAAACACGCACAGAUCACACACCUCAACCCUCCAUUAGGAGUUGGGUCCUUUAUUUGAAGCAGGCUUGUAUUCGCUGCAGGCUAUACGUCAAAUUCGCUCCGUCUGAAGAGAAUAAUAAACUUUCUCACUGCAGCGCUGCUCUUCUUUAUGUCAGAGUUUGUAUUUAAACUCCGAUCUCUGCUGAAAGGAUCUCUGCCAGAAACUUUAGCUCAUCUGGAGAAAAAAAGAGUCUAAACUGGAGCUCGAACUCCAACAAGAAAAGUUUUUGCAGAGCAAAUAAAACUGUGUGCGGGUCAUCGCUCUCAGCAGGAGAGGUUUUCCAACUGCAAUUUCACCUUUAAAGAUUGGACUCCAGGAGAAGAGAAGUCUAUUUCUCUGAGCCAGAUUCUUUUCUAAUGUCAAAUAAAAACACUUCUGUCCUGAGGUAAACUUUCCUCUGUGUGGAGACUUUAAAUUUAACCUCUUCCUCAGUAAAGUGACCCCUGACCCCUCCCUCUGCUGUAUCCCCGAGCCUGUUGUACUUCUGUCUGCAAACACAGAGGUCAGCUAAAGGUGUGAUGGGCAGAGAGUUGUGCUUGUUCUCAAAUCCUACAUGAUGCUCGGCGCUCAGUGUGUGAGCAGACUUUCUUUCUUUAGUGUCUCCACACAAUCUUUUCAGAAGGAAAAUAUUGACCCGCUAACAAAAGCCGAGAAAGCUGGGACAUCCUGAGCAGCAGAGCGGCUCUCUGGAGACCGUGCAGAGUCAGAGUCGGGUUUUUCAGGUUUUUCUCCUGCUGAACGACUUUAAUGUGAGUGACCUUUGUUUUUCUCUUCACCUCAGAAAAGUCCUUUUAUUUGCAGCUUUGACCAAAUGGUGACCCGAGGGGCGGAGAGGGUCUGAGGAACCUGUGGGGAGUGAGACACAAAACAAGGCCGAACAUCUAGGUUCCCUGCAGUUCCCUGAGUGUCCACUAGAGGCUGUGUCCUUCAGUGAGUCAAUCCUAAUAGAGCCUGAUGUUAAAAUAUUAAACUUUACAGCAGGAAUAAGCAUGUCGACAGUCAGGUACAAAAAUAUCUAUAGCUCAUCAGAGUAGGGAUUAAAGUCGCCUGUUCAUGAACAUCGGCGUGUUUUCAGAGGUUUGUUUUUGUGAAUAUCAGACUCAUCAUUGGUCUAAUUUCCCUUGAAGACGGUUUGAUCCUCGUUGUAUCAGGAUGAUAUUCUGUGUAAAUCUGUGCGAAGCUGCAAACAUGUCCUCCUGCUCUGUUUUUAACAUCUUUCAUAUCGUCCUGUGAUCUGAGGAGGAACUAAGACCUCUCCGCUCUGUGACCGAUAAUGGAGGUGAGCGACCUGUGGAGGCAGACGGGAAACGGAGCCGUCUUACACCGCCGCUAGCACAGCUGAGCACGCUCAGUCUGAUCAGGCUGAUGAAAGGUGAUAGUCUGCAGAGAUCGUAUCUGAGAGGAGGGACUCAUUAAAAAGGGAACUCUGCUAAAGUGGAGGAGAUGGACGUGUGAGAAGGACUCUGAGGUUUGUCGUGAAACACCUUAAAAACUUUCAAAAACCUUAAAAAAAGCUUGAAAAUCUUAAAAACCUUAAAGAUAAAAAAAACCCUUAAAAACCUUUAAACACUUUUAACAACCUUUUAAAACCUUACAAACCUUUGAAAACCUUUAAAAGCCUUAAAAACAUUUAAAACCCUUAAAAACUUUCAAAAACCUUUAAAAUCCUUCAAACCUUGAAAACUUUAAAAGCCUUUAAAAACCCUUAAAACCUUUAAAAACCUUCAAAAAAAUUUAAAAACCUUUAAAAGCCUUUUAAAAAUGUCAGCAACCUUUAAAAACCUUUUAAAACAUUCUAAGAACCUUUAAGAACUUUCAAAAACCUUCAAAACCUUUUAAAAUCCUUUAAAAACUGUCAAAAACCUUCAAAAGCCUUUUACUAAACCUUUUAAAACCUUUUAAAAACCUUUAAAAACUUUAAAAACCCUUUAAAUUCUCUCGAUGUGAAGUCAGCUGAUCUGCAGAAACUGCAUGAUGUCAUCACGCCAAUAUGAGUCAAAAUCUCUUAAAAACGCCGCCUGAGGCCUGUCCUGCAGGAAGUCUUCCUUUUAUUUCCUUGUUCCUAUAACUCUAUGAGCCACCUUCAAAAUAAAAGCCUGCCUCAUGUUGGUGCUCUCAGCCGCAGGGUUCAAAGUUUCUCUUGUCGAAGUUCUUGGGUCUCAACUUUUCAGGUGAAGUCCGGGGUCAGAUCUUCCUUCCUCUCUCACACACAGAGCAGCUGAUUAUGGCGAGAAAAAGCCGAGUGUAUUUUCAUUCAGAGGGGACGGCGGCGCGGCUCUGACACGGCGUGAGUAAUGGCGCCUGGCUCAGGACAGGAAACUCAUAAAGCCUCCUGUAGCAGCUGCUAUCUGUGAAAGUAGGAUGGAUAUCUCCCUCAGAGGGAUCCAAAACAACGGUCCGCCCGGGCUCGGAGGAAAAACACGAGGGUGGAGUUUAUUUCAGGGUGAGGUGACGGAGAGAAGAGCUCUGAACGAUGACCCAUGAAGACCAGAGACUCUUAAAACAGAGUUUAACUAAAACACACUGAGGUUAGCCCCGCCUCCUCCAUGUAAACCGAUGGGACAUGAGUCAAAAAUCACAGUCCUGGUCACAUUAAUGUUUCAUAGUUAUAAGCUCAUUUUAUUGGUCUAAAGGAGUCAUGUGAUGCUAUAAAAAGAAGCGAAACAGAGUGAUUGACAGCUCUGUUGACCAAUAAGGCCCGCCCUCUAAUGGAUCUGGUCCACAUAUAGGUGGUCUCGGUGGUAAAACAGGUUUAAUCCUGCAAAGAAGUGAGGUGACCGAUACAGUUAACAUCCUGCAACCAUGACUAAUGAGAAGGAAGAGAGGAGCAAACUGAUGAAACAGAGCUAAUGGACAUAAAUAUCAAUAUAUAUAUAAACAUGCACACAUCAAGAACUCUGAGAACCCGGGUGAACUGCAGGGUCAGGGUUAAGGGUUAGGGGUUAGAGUUAGGGGGAUAGGGUUAGGGUUAGGGUUAGGAUUAGGGUUUGGUUAGGGGUAGGGGUUAGGGUUAGGGUUGGGUUAGGGGUAAGCAUUAGGGUGAGGGUUAGGGUCAGGGUUAGGGUUAGGCUUGGGGUACGGUUAGGGGUUAGGGGUAGGGGGUUAGGGUUAGGAUUAGGGUUUGGUUAGGGGUAGGGGUAGGGGUUAGGGUUGGGGUUAUGGGAAAGGGUUAGGGUUCUGGUUACAGUUAGGGGUAAGUGUUAGGGUUAGGGGUAGGGGGUUAGGGUUAGGAUUAGGUUUAGGGUUUAGGGUUAAGGUUAGGGGUGAGAGUUAGGUUCAGGGGUUAGGGUUAGGGGUAAGGGUGGGGUUAGGGUUCUGGUUACAGUUAGGGGUAAGCGUUAGGGUUAGGGGUUAGGGUCAUGGUUAGGUUUAGGGUUGGGGUAGGGGUUAGGGGUAGGGGUAAGGGUUAGGGUUCUGGUUACAGUUAGGGGUAAGCGUUAGGGUUAGGGGUUAGGGUCAUGGUUAGGUUUAGGGUUGGGGUAGAGUUAGGGGUUUAGGGUUAGGGGUGAGAGUUAGGUUCAGGGGUUAGGGUUAGAGUUAGAGUUGGGUUAGGGUUGGGGUUGGGGUUAGGUUUAGGGUGCAGAUCAGGUUAUUAUUGAUCAUGCAUUUACAGAUCUGUAGCUGUUUUCUGAUCCCUUCAAUCUCUCCAAACUUCUCCACAUUUCCUCAUCUCUUAUUUUAUAAAGUCACGUCGUCAUAAAACCCACCGGCUCGCCCUCAGUUGCUGUUUUAAUACAAAUACAGUAUCUGAACUCUCUUAGACUCCAAACUUUGCAGGAUCCUGAACUACAAAGUCCUUUUUUUUUAAAGUUGAGCAGUGACUCAGAGAGUUUAAUCCCUGAUGUGCUGGAAAGACUUCAGAAAAGCUGCAGAGUUUCUCGAACAGAAGAAGAAGAAGAAAGCGUGUAUGUGUGCAGAAAAGGAGUUUCUGUGCUCAUCCCAGAGCAGGAAAUCUCUGCUGCAGUCAUUUGUCUUCACUGAUUUAAUGUUGAAAAUGAGUCCUGAGAGAGCGACCUGUGCACCUGCUGCAGGCUGAGUCUUCCUAAUAAACUGAAUCAUCGGCUCUUUGUCUGCUGUUAGACCCAAACAAGAGCUCAUGUUUAAGUCCUAAUGAAAAUGUCAGACUCACACAGAUAACUGUCUGAAUGAUCAUUAGUCGCGCACGCUCGCCAUAAAGCGUUUAAAUGUGGAAAUGUCAGAGCUGUCUGAGCUCAUCUAUUAUUUAUUCUGAUUUUACAUCAUUAUUUAGAGCCUCACAGAACAAUACGCUGAAUAAUCAGGGAAAUGUUUGUUAAUUAUGUGUGGCAUUAAGUCAAUGUGACCCAGACUGAUGUUAGACGCUCUAAUCUCAGCUAAAACCAAUUUAAACGCAGAGUACGUUGGUUUUUUAUUUCAUUUUAAUUCACAUUCAUGCAGACGCUGUCGCUCUGAGGACCCGGACUAACAGCUGGAGGCGUUUCUUUUAUUCGGGAAAACACAACAUAGAAGUCUAUCAGUGAUCCUGGGCCCACAGAGAUCAGUCUGAGAACUGAGGCAGAGAGAGGGGGCGGACACAAAUACAGGGGCAACAAGACAGAGGGUCAAACGGGCAAAAGGUUCGAUUAAAGCAGGUCAAGGUGAGUACAGGGUGAGGGAUCGAAAAAGAAAACGAGACUGAUGAGAGACAUGAGGUUUGAUACAUGAGGUCAUGAGGGAGAGACAAUCAGGAGGCAGGUGUGACAGGAAGACAGGGUUAGUGACUUCAAAAUAAAACAGGAAGGACAACUAAUAGUACAUGUCUGCAGAGUCGGAGAGCCAAGCAGAUCCACAACUGUCUUUGUGCCCCUGCUGGACGGAGUAGGGCAUUGCAUGACAGAUCCAUGACCUUCUUUUUAACACAUCCGUUUUUGUGCCCAGAAAUUUAAUUUAAUAAACAAGUUAAUAAAUAAAAAUAAAAAAUAAAAAUUUGUGAAGACUGUGACUGUGACUGCCCAAAGUCACAUAUUUAGAUAUUAAUCUAGAUUUUAUUAAUUUUACAUUUAUCUACUUAUCAUCUUUUUAUGUAUUGUCUGCCAACUUGAAAUAUUUCGGUUUAUUCUACCAAAAUAUGAACUUAUAUCAUCCCAAUAUCUGAGGGAUCGACCUCUUUUUUAUCCUCUUCAUUCCUCUGCGAUGAUUUUGACCCUGAAUACAAAAGUCUGUGUCUGCAGAGUCGGAUCAAUCUGAUAUAUUUUCAUGUUCAAUCUCACGCACAUUAUUAGUCAUCACACUUCUGUUUCAUUCACUACAAUGCUAGUAACCUACGGGUCAAAUAGUGCAUUUCCGAUUUCUGACAAGCUAAUGUUAGCAUUAGCUUGACUGAGAUUCGAUUUUAGACUAUCAUGGAAAGACGUCCUGAACGGAGCCUGUCACAUCGACAUUUAUUUCUCCGUCAAAUUCAAGACAACAGUUUUAUUAAUGACUAAAAUAUGUGUGAGUCUCGAUCAUGACGUCGCUCCAUUCGAGCCGAUAACUUUCGAGAAAGAAGCGGUAAGAAGAGGCGGUCACGUGUUUCAGGUUGUGGAUCUGUCAUGAAAAAGUGACUCUGACAGAAACAGUGAAGAAUGACGGUGUGUUUGCCGUUAAUCGUAAAUUCAUGUAUUUUUACACUUUUUAUUUAGUCGUGUUUAAGUUCAGAUGUGUGAGACUCCUCCGUCUCUGACUGUUUAAAAAAGCUGCAGAGAAAAAAACACAAACAGGAAUAUUUUUGUUUGUUUUUCUCCUUUUAGCUCCACGUGAGAACGAACAGAGCUGAAGGAGGUUUAUCCAAACUCCAAACCGCCGUCCCUGAGUGUGACCCAGAUAUCAAAUUAAAGACGCGGACCUUCACACGAACACAUGCUGUUUAUUUCUGUGUGCGCUGACAGUUUAGCUGGAGGUGAUUCUGCUCACCCCGAUAAUCUCACGUCAUCUUUAUGGAAGUUUUAUCUCUCCAUGAUGAUGAGCGAAACACGGAAACACGGAAACACAGAGCGAGCGUCUCUUUAACCCUCCGUCUGACUCUGAUCGAUGUUUCUGCUCUGCGGUCUUUCUCCGCCCGAGGCUGACAUGUCCGUAUCUGUGACGCUCACAUAGAUUUAUUUACAUCUGUGUCAGAUUCAGGAGGCUACAGGAGCAUCACACCAAGGACAGAGGACUUCUUUAUUCAGCAUAAAAACAUUUCUGCAGCAGUGGGAGUGGGAGGGAAAUCAGAGGAAUGAGGAGACAGGAGAGAGAGAGAGAGAGAGAGAGCGGAUAACUUCACCAACACUGACAGUAUUCUUUAUUAAAGGGGAUGGAGAUUUGCACUGAAUAUAAUAUUGAAGUCCGUCUAUCAUCCCUUUAACUCUGUUUUAAUCGUCUGUGAUGAAUAUUCAAACUGGAGGAAUGAGAUUCUGGCAGAAACAGGAGCGCUGAAUGUCAGUGAUAGGUCAGCUCAGCAGGAAGGUCAGCGUCUGAAUUAUUCACUCCAAAUGAAGUUAAUCGGUGAUUAAAAAUCUACCAUCAUUUAUGGAGAGGGUGUUGGUUUGACCAGCAGACCUCUGACAGGUGAGUCCAGAGAGAGUACAGGUGAGAUAAAUAACCGCGAGGAUGAAGGUUUGCUCUGCUCACAGUCCCCGUGAGGAGUCGGGCUGGGAAAAUCUGCAGUAUUUCUAGGAUGAGGACUGCAUUUCCCAUGAGCACCGUCACCCCUGAAGACUAGAGGAUCUGUGUUACAGACCCACUCUAAUGAAAAUCCUGUUUUUCUUGUCGUCUACAUGUUCAUAUAUUGAUUUUUCUGAUACUACAGGACGUAUCAUAGGAAAAAUAAGUGUGACAUUUGUGUUUCUGACUCAUUCAAAUCGCUGUGAAUCUCUGGCAGACUUAAACAGCAGGUUCAGAUACAGUGAGAUUUCCUACAUCACAAAUCCAAGCUCCGCCCCCAGAGCCCCGCUAUGAAGGCCAGACUCAGAGAAGUCGAGAGGACGAUCACGGAACAAGCGUGUGAGUUAGCGGAUUGUAAUGAUAUUAACUUUCAUCGUGUCUCUAAAGACAUUCGUGUCCGAGAGAUGAAUAACUCCGAUGUUACCUGCUUCUUCUACUUCAACAUUAGGCUACAAGCUAGCAUGAAGAGGAGUGUGCAGAACAGCGCUGACUCCGCCCACGACUCAGAGGUGAAUUGCCAAUGAGCUACAGGAGCUCUGCAGAAGAAAAGACCUUGAAAAGGACACAGGUAAUGUGAAUUUGGCUAAAAACUUCAUAAUCACAAUUUAAAGACUUUAAAUAGUAAAAAAAAUGAUCGGAGUGUGACUUUAAAGAAGCAAAUAACAGAAUCUGCAGAAACACUUUUUCAGGAAGCAGAUCGAAGAUCUCGCGUUGAUUUGAAGCUCCAUCAAAUCAUUAAGUUUUACUGGAGCUGUCAGCGUGAAUAAGAAAAGUGCGGUAAAAAGCACACCUUAGUGUAGCUGACACUUCUGCAGCCGCCAUAUUGGAAAAUAACACCAAAUUGGAUAAUGAAGACCACCACAACAGGAAGGAAGAAUGGAAUACAGUGGACCUUCUGGUCACAGCUUGAGGACCUCGAUUUUACUGACGACCUGGCCCUCCUGUCACACAGCCAAAAUUGCAUGCUGAAGAAGACCAACCGGCUAACUCCAACACCCCUUGGAACAGGCCUCAGGUUAAACAAGGAAAAGACGAAACUGAUGAGGAUGAACACCCCGACCAACAUCCCUGUCACCCUAGAUGACAGGCCCAUCGAAGAAGUCGACUCCUUCACCUACCUCCGCACAAGCGAGGUGGCACAGAUAGGGAUGUCACUGCCAGGGUAGGUAAAGCUAGAGCGGCGUUUAUUAUCCUGAAGAACAUCUGGGCCUCAGGGGAAAUAGAGGCGCAUAUUUGGAAUUAAGUGGCCGGAGGAAAUCAACAAUAAGGAGCUGUGGCAGAAAGAGAGACAGGAGCCAGUGAAGAGCCAGAUCCGGAGGCGGAAGUGGGGCUGGAUUGGCCACACUUUGUGUAAAUCAUCAGCUUCCGUCACACGCCAGGCCGUGACUUGGAAGAAGAGGGGAAGGCCCAAGAACAGCUGGAGGCGGGACACUGAGUCAGAGCUGAAGAGUUAUGGGGAGAGGUGGAGAGGAUAGUCCAGGACCGUGCUGGAUGGAGAAGAGUUGUUGAUGGUCUUUGCUCCACAGAGAGUUACGGGUCUAAGUAAGUAUACAGUGUUUUAAAAUGGCCGAUAGAAGGUGUCAGAGCGUUAUUAUCAGCUGCUCUGAAUGUGGAAAUUAAACCUCAAAAACAAGAGCGGUCACUUCUGGACGACUGAACCUCCCGAUUAUUUAAACCGGAUUUUAUUUGGGUUUUAAAUUUGAACGCUGCAGAACCACAACACGGCUCUGUGGACUCUAACGGUCCGGUUCAGAUGAAACAAACAAACAGGAGUGAGAUUCUGCAGAGGAACCAGAAGGACCGUGAAUUAAAUCAGCUGACACGACAGAUCGGUCUGUUUACGAACCGUCCUGAUGGUCAGUGAGGAUCAGUCUGAGGAGAAUCCGUCACUUUUAUUAUCCAAUCACAGAUGACCUUGUUUCUGUUUGCGGCUCGGGACGAUUUCAGAGUGAAAUGAGAGUCAGUGGACGGUGGCUGCAGAGGACAAAAACAGGAAAAUGGAGACAGAUGAAUCCGGGCGAGGUCUGAGAGUCAGCUCAUUAUUCUGAUGCUUUUGUCAUUAUUUCGGUGUCACAUCCUCGAUGGAGAUUCAGACGCCGCAUCAUCCGGUCUGCUCUCACUGAUCAUCUUCAUUCAUCUCCAUUCAGAGCAGGAAAUGGGACGACAAAACUCUGAUGAGCAUCGAGGAGCAAUAACAACGUUUCUGUCACCGAGGAGGAUCAGUGAGACACAGACAGAACCAGGACUGAUGGGCUCAUCACCACACUGACCUUUACCCAUCCUUUACACUCCGGUUUCUGCUCUAUGUGGACCUGAACCGGGACCCUCUUUAACCUGGGAGGUCCCGGCUCUGCCUAAGUCCAUAUAAAGACCCCAAUUACACAUGUCAAUGUCAAGUUUAUUUGUAUAGCCCAUUUAAAGCAGCCAGUGGCCUACCAAAGUGCUUUACAAUAACGGAUAUAUCUGAACCUUAAAACCACAAGACUCUGACUCAAACAGGAUCAUACAUGGAGUGGAGGAGCAACCCUGAACCUGACCCUGAUUUUGACCCUAACCCUAAUCCUGACCCUAACCUCUUACCCUGAUCCUGACUCUAAUCUAAACCCUAACCCUAACCUCUUACCCUGAUCCUGACCCUUACCUGACCCUGAUCCUAAAAUGACCCUAAUCCUAACCCUGACCCUGAUCCUAAACCUAAUCCUGACCCUAACCCUAAACCAAAUCGACACUUAUCCUGACCCUGAUCCUAACCCUAACCCCUAAACCUGAUCCUGACCCUAAUCCCAACCCUGGCCCUUAACCUGACCCUAAAUCUUACCCUAACUCUGAUCCUGACCCUGAAACUAAACCUGACUGUAAUCCUAACCCUAAUCUGACCCUUAUCCUGAUCCUAAACCUAACCCUAAUCCUGACCAUAAUUCUGGCCCUCACCCUCAUCCUGACCCUUACCCUUAACCAAUUCCUGACCCUGAUCCUGACCCUAAUCUUAACCCCUAACCCUGAUCCUGACCCUAAUCUUAAACCUAACUCUACUUCUGACCCUGAUUCUUACCCUAACUCUAAUCCUGAUCCUAACUUUAACUCUUACCCUGACCCUGAAACUAAACCUGACUGUAAUCCUAACCCUAAUCUUGACCCUUAUCCUGACCUUAAACCUAACCCUAAUCCUGACCAUAAUUCUGGCCCUAACCCUCAUCCUAACCCUAACCCUUAACCAAAUCCUGACCGUGAUCCUAACCUAACCCUAACCCCUAACCCUGAUCCUGACCCUAAUCUUAAACCUAACUCUACUUCUGACCCUGAUUCUUACCCUAACUCUAAUCCUGAUCCUAACUUUAACUCUUACCCUGACCCUGACCAAGCUUUUGAUUGUCAGGACCAGCUCUGAAGGUCUUCCCUGAAAAACUCCGAUGUUCCUCCUAAACCUGAAGAUCUUGUUUAAAACCGAGGAUGCAGCAUCUAUGAUUUCCAGUUCUACGUCGAAAGGACAACUGGACUUAACUAAGUCCAGUUGUCCUUUCCAAAAGAGUUUUAGAUUCUGAUCCAUCAGACCUCAGGACGGCUCUCCUCGUCCUCUCAGUCCACUAAUGGGCUCAGGUCCAGAAAAGUCUCUGGUGGUUCUUGACCUUGUCUCUAUCCGGUCUCCUCAUGGUUCAGUUUGAACCUGAUUUGAUCUGUGUUUACUGUCCUGUCUGUUUUCAAUGCCGACGAUCAAAUCUACUGAUUUUUACGUUACAGGUUAAAAAUUUAACAUCAGUCUUUUUUUUUUUUUUUUACUGUUUUCAGUCUAAUUUAGUUUUUUAUAAAUAAUCUGUAAACCGUUAAAAUCUGAAAAAAAUUGAUCGACUUUCCCCUCGAGGAUCAAUAAAGAUGAUAAACUUCUUAUCUCAUAAUUAUUAAUUUUAGAUUUCAUGUCUCUCAGCGUCCAGACUUUCUUCAGAUGUGAUUGUCAAAGUGGAAGUUCAGAAAAAUAAAAACAGUUUGUAGGAAACUGAGGGAUAAAAACACACUAACUCCAGGUAAUAGUCCCCUCCCGUCAGUGUCUACGAUGACGUUUUCUAACUCUACCUUGAAUCUUCUCCUCCUGCUGCCUCCUCCACAUCUGAGACAAUUAGACCUGAUUCUAUCUAAUACUGUGAGCCGAGGACCUAAUCUCCCUGAAUUACAGUCUUCUGUUGUUUAUCUGAGCAGGAGCUGCUGGAUUAUCUGGAGUGUAUUUUUAGCAGCAGCACAAAGAUCCCGUCAAUCUCCACAAAAAUCCACUUUAAGAUGAUUUUUAAUUCCCAAAUAUGAAAUCACACUAGAGCUGAAGUUAGUCCUGAUAUAACAAACUUCCUCAUGACUAAUUUAUAAGUUCAGCCUGCAGAUUUGGGCUCAUGUUGACCUCUGACCUCAGCGUCUCUGCAAACUUCGAGAUGAUGUUCUUCAAGAGUACGAGAGGACGCCUCCUCUGUAACCGAGCACGGCCUAAAGCUUGAAUAAAAUUACAUCUGAUUGAGUGUGGAGAGCUUUUUACCGCCGAUGGAGCGUACUUAGUGAGUGGAAAAUGUGCUUACCCUGCUAAUUAUACCACAUGACACAGAUGGUUCUGAGCUGGGCUGGAAAAAACUCUGGAAAUCAGCGCUGUGCCGCCGCCAAGAAAAUGAUUCUUUCACUCCAAAAAUCUCUCAAUGUUUCAUCAAAUGUCACCGAUAGAAGUUAGUGUUUUCUGAGGAGCUCAAAUAAAGAUGGUUCGGCUUUAAAACGUGAAUAAAGAAGUUUUUUUUUCUGUAAUUUUCCAGUUUAAAUGUCAGAGUGAAGCCGUCAGGCCCGAGGUCAAACUCUCAGACAUGAGAUUUAACAUUUACAAAGGUGAAGAGAGAGGGGAGCGGACCGGGGCGGUGAAAUGAAGCGUGUCGGCCUGGAAACAGAGCGAGCGCUCGUUACUGAGUCAGUCUGCUGCAGGUGAGUCACAGGUAAACAGGAGGCCAAGAAGAGGUCAGCGUCUGUGUUUGUCUGCAGAGACUCCGACUGAACCAACACCAGAACUCUGUGAAGAUAUAAAUAUGUGUUUAUAUGAAGUGACAGUUAUUACCUCUGCUCUGUUUCCUCCUUUGAUGAGAAAACUCACAGCAGAUAAAAGAAGAACCAGGACUCCUCUGUGACACAGUCAGGGUGGACUUUCAGGACCUCAGUCUGAUCUGGACCGAGACGGAGGGACAUGAGGGGGUCUCUGAAGGUGGAGAGGUUUAUCCGCUUUAAAGGUGUUGUAGUCAGGAUCUGAGUUAGUUCCAGUUUUUAGGAGAAAUCUUGACUGUAAACUCGACCCCUCCAACCAGUUUUCCCCUCAGCUCCUCCCCUCCCUCUCUUAAGCCCCGCCCACAAACAGACGCUCCUGCUCGCUCGUAUCGUUCCAGUUAAAUUCAGAUAUAAUGCAGAUAAAUACUUCAGAUCAUUACAAAUGGGGCCCAGUCAAGGUGAAAGUCAAAAGCAUUGGUGCUACUGUAGAUGCCAACAGACUACCAGCAAACACAAUGUUUGCAGGACUUCUACAACGAGGAUAAAGUGACAUAGUCCAGGACCCGAGGGAGGACAGUUUAGCGAUGGCGCUACAACACGCUACAGCAGGUCCGUUUGACAAGAAACACUUCUGUUACAGACACUUGUCUUACUUUGUUAAAGCGGUUUACCUGUCCAGCAGAAAGGUUACAGGGUCACCAAGAUCCCCAAGCGUCCCCCAUCGUUUAUGUUGACCCGGCUUUUUAGCUCUUGUCCGGUCUACCUCCGUUUUAAGCGCCCGUUAUUCCUCCAGAGUCUCCGGUAUUUACUUUGUUUUCUUGCUUGUGUCGGCAGUCGUGGCCAAAGGAGGAUUCCGACAAUUUUCCGAACUUUCUGGUUGGUUUCUACUGUCCGAUAUUGUAGCACGCUAACUUUGUUUGGGCUCCUGAACGACACGGGGAGAGUCUGCCUCAACCAAUCAGGUUAGAGGAGGUAUCGAUAUAUUACCAAAUGUCAUCAAUAACAAUAACUAAUAACUAUUGACUGAUAUUAGAAGAGUUUUUGUAUUAAAACCACAAAAUAAAAAGAUGCUUCUUUAACGGUUUCCUGUCUACUCCACCUUUAAAGUACAGCAAAGUGUCGUCUGCAUAACAAGAUUUAAGGCGGGACUUCCUGUGAUUGACAAGCUGACACUCAGGCUGUUUGAAGAUGUUCGUGACCUGAAAAACACCUGAAGUGGAUCAAAGAAAAUCAGUCCUAGAUGUGAAAACAGACUCAGACGGUCGGACCUCCUGAUCCGUCUGAAAAAGGUCUUUGUGUCAGACCCGUAUCUUUAAAACCGGAUCAUGAUUCUGGGUUCAGUCCUGACCUUUUUCUCAGCAAACAUUUACAUUUCCUCGUUCUCUCCCUCUCCUCAUGUUUGCUUCACCUUUGGUCGAGUUUUCUGGGGUCCCUCUGUAAACCUCGUUUGUUGUUCUCAGGGUUUCUUGAUCCCUCUCCGGUAUAAAUCCGAUCUUCCUUCAGCUCUUUAUAAACUUUUCUCUCACAAACUCUGAAUCAAACUUUGAGAUUCAGUUUGCAUCCGUUCAUGCGGAGCCAGAUCACCUUGACUCCUGCUCCUCCUCGCUCCGAGUCUGACUCUGUGUUUGAUCCCCGCCAUGAUGGCGGCCUGCAGGCGUACAGCCGGAGCUUACUGUGAGUUACAUCAGAUACAGAGACUGACGGUCCGACCAAUCGGAGCGAGGAGAGGACGACUUUAGGACAUUUAAAAUCUUUUUUUCUUCUUUCUCCAGAUUUAGAAACCAGUGAACCCGACGUGAACCUGAGACCAGCUCUGACUCUGAAGUCUGAGAAACACAAAACUCAUAAAGUCUGAAAGUUUGAAGAGUUCAUGAUUUCAUUCAGUGACGGACAGAGAGUCUGAGAAAAGGGAACAAGAAAAAGGUUCCAGAUGAAGGUCAAAGUCCAGGAUUGAGCGAUAAAACUGUCCUCGUCGGACUCUGAGGUUUGGGGAACUUUAGUCCUGAUCUGGUCUCCAUGAUCCUGCAACAAAAACUGGUUCAGCUGAAGUACCAGCAUUUACAAACUCAUGGCAUCUGUCAGGAGAUCGACAGGCGGAUCGGAGCGGCGUCAGCAGUGAUGCGGACGCUGAACCGAUCAGUGGUGGUGAAGAAAGAGCUGAGCCGUAAGGAGAGACUCUGGAUUUACCGGUCGAUCUACGUGCCGAUCCUCACCUAUGGUCAUGAACUUUGGGUAAUGACCGAAAGAACAAGAUCGCAGAUACAAGCGGCUGAAAUGGGUUUCCUCCUCAGGGUGUCCGGGCUCAGCCUUAGAGAUAGGGUAAGGAGCUCAGAGGAGAACCGCUGCUCCUCCACGUCCAGAGGAGACAGCUGAGGUGUUAGGACGCCUUCUGGAUGCCUCCCAUUAGAGGUGUUCCAGACAUGUCCCACCGGGAGGAGACCUCGUGGUCGGCCCAGGACCAGGUGGAGGGAUUAUAUCUCUCGCCUGGCCUGGGAGCGCCUGGGAAUCCCCCCAAAGGAGGAGCUGGUGGAAGUGUCUGGGGUGAGGGCCGUCUGGGCUUCCCUCCUGAAGCCGCUGCCCCCGCGACCCGGACCAGGAUGAAGCGGAAGAAAAUGACGACAACAACAUCUGUUGUUGUUGGUCUCAAAGCUUUUACAACAAAACCCUAAAAAGUCAGGACACUGUGUGAAAUGUUGACCAAGAAUUUAGAUGUUUUUCUAUUUCCUAUAUAAUCCUCUCAACGUAGAAAUGGAAAUAAUAGAUGCUGCAUCUUCAGUUUUGAACGAUAUCUCCAGGUUUCGGAGCAACAUCUGAACAUCUGCUGCCAUCCAGACAAAGACUUUUUCAGGGAAGACCUUCAUAUUUCAACAUUUGGCGGAUCGAUAAUAACGAGUGACGACAGAGAAACUAAAUCCACGUCAAACAGCAGACUGAGAAAAAUCAGCUGUUUUUAUUUAUUACAGUUAAUCUGAGAGAUUAACCCUAAAACUUUGAACUUCACGUAUUUUUAAUGUUGUCAGUUUUUCGUCUCUCGGACCGUCCCUUCAGUGAAUUCAUCACAUGACUAUGAGACAGCGAGAGCGUCAGACCUGCUGCUGAGACUCUAAUCUGAGCAGGAAAUCAUCGACACAGAUAUUACAGAGCUGCUCUAUCAUCAUGUGUGCGUCUGUGCUAAUCGCUGUGGGUCCAUUAAAUUAGCUGGAACACAGGGGGAUACCGACUAUUUCACACUGAGGGAGCAUUUAAAGGCCUUUGUAAUAAUUUACUGCUGCUCUGGGCUUUUAUAAUCAGGUGAUAAAAGCAAUUAACCGUGAUGGAGAUAAAAACAGGUCCACCAGAUCACUCUCCGACUGAUUUCACAUCAUCGUAAACGUGGCGUGACUGUUUUUGUCGGAUUGUAUAAAAGUUUGAAAGUGACUUCAAAAACCAGGAGGAUUCUGGGAGAACUUCCUCUAAUCCUGAGUGUGUGUGUGUGUGUGUGUGUGUGGAGUCGAGCUGAAGGCUGAUUGUUGAAAACAAAGAAAUCAAUAUGACUCUGCGGCGUUUUCCCUCACUGCUGCACAGAAUCAAACCCUGAUAUCUGCACUAAUGAAAGCAGAAUAAAUGACCGAGUGUGUUUCUGUUCCUUUUCCUCUCCAUGUCUAAUGAACUGACCCACCCGUCCAGGUUAUUGAUCACAUCAGCUGCAGGUAUUUAUAGGUUUACAUGUCUUUAUACUGCCUCCAUCAUGACAGACCUAAAGAGCGCGCUCUAGAAUCGGACCCUCGGUCUGACCGAUCGAUCCAAUUCAUCCCGCACAAGCUCAACUGGAGAAAGGUCUGGAGACUGAGGGGGCCAAACCAUCUUUUGAAGAACACCUUCCUCUUUAUUUUUGUCGAGGUAACCCUGACAGAGCUCGGCAGAGUGCUUAGGGUCAUUGUCUUACUGCAAAACAAACUGAUGAGCCACAAGUCUGAGUCCAGAUGGAGCAGCAUGGUGCUGGAGGAUGGAGUGGUACUGUUCCUUCUUCAUGAUACCUUUUACUUCAAACAAAUCUCCUACUCCAUCUCCUGCAAAACAUCCCCAUACCAUGAGCUACCACCUCCAUG